GCGGGCUUCGCCUAGUGGUUUGGCAACGGCCUUCCAAGCCGUCCACACGGGUUCGAUUCCCGUAGCCCGCUCCA
RNAcentral lists this transfer RNA (74 nucleotides) under Paraburkholderia pallida. RNAcentral describes it as "Paraburkholderia sp. 7MH5 tRNA-Gly". It matches the Rfam family "tRNA". Rfam says of the family: Transfer RNA (tRNA) molecules are approximately 80 nucleotides in length. Their secondary structure includes four short double-helical elements and three loops (D, anti-codon, and T loops). Further hydrogen bonds mediate the characteristic L-shaped molecular structure. tRNAs have two regions of fundamental functional importance: the anti-codon, which is responsible for specific mRNA codon recognition, and the 3' end, to which the tRNAs corresponding amino acid is attached (by aminoacyl-tRNA synthetases). tRNAs cope with the degeneracy of the genetic code in two manners: having more than one tRNA (with a specific anti-codon) for a particular amino acid; and 'wobble' base-pairing, i.e. permitting non-standard base-pairing at the 3rd anti-codon position. The record is from RNAcentral. Lineage: Bacteria; Pseudomonadati; Pseudomonadota; Betaproteobacteria; Burkholderiales; Burkholderiaceae.